RNAcentral lists this long non-coding RNA (481 nucleotides) under Medicago truncatula (barrel medic). Its description in RNAcentral is "lncRNA gene9567". The record is from RNAcentral. Lineage: Eukaryota; Viridiplantae; Streptophyta; Magnoliopsida; Fabales; Fabaceae.
GUUUAAGUGGUGGUAGAAUGCAUCAAGAAUGCUUCUUGGAACAAAGGGGGUUGUGUACCUGCAGACACUCCAACGCUCAAGUCAGUAGAGAUCAGAGAGAGGGUUUAGAGGAAGAGAUAAAUCCUACCUUGGGGACUGCUAUGAGUCCCCUAUAUAUAGAGGUGGGGGGCUGCAGAGCCGUUGUAAUGACACACCAGACUCUCGCGGUUUCGAACUUGUGGGAAGUGUAACCGCCAGAGAGAUUAUUGCGGGAACGUGCAGAGAGACGUUGUGGUUCGUUUGAACUAGUCUUGUUCGCUCCGUGCACCCCCUCGUGGAGAAGGGAUGUGUCGCAAGUAAUGUUACCAAACAUGGUGUUUGGGCUUUGAAUAAUAUUGGGCCUAAGUAAAUGGAUCAAAUCUCCUUUUGUCCGAUCCAGAACAGUUACUAUUUUUUAUUUCCAAUAUUAUAUUUAUUCAUACCUAAAAAAAGUAUAUAGAAA